GAGCUUGCUCCCUGAUGUUAGCGGCGGACGGGUGAGUAACACGUGGGUAACCUGCCUGUAAGACUGGGAUAACUCCGGGAAACCGGGGCUAAUACCGGAUGGUUGUUUGAACCGCAUGGUUCAAACAUAAAAGGUGGCUUYGGCUACCACUUACAGAUGGACCCGCGGCGCAUUAGCUAGUUGGUGAGGUAACGGCUCACCAAGGCAACGAUGCGUAGCCGACCUGAGAGGGUGAUCGGCCACACUGGGACUGAGACACGGCCCAGACUCCUACGGGAGGCAGCAGUAGGGAAUCUUCCGCAAUGGACGAAAGUCUGACGGAGCAACGCCGCGUGAGUGAUGAAGGUUUUCGGAUCGUAAAGCUCUGUUGUUAGGGAAGAACAAGUACCGUUCGAAUAGGGCGGUACCUUGACGGUACCUAACCAGAAAGCCACGGCUAACUACGUGCCAGCAGCCGCGGUAAUACGUAGGUGGCAAGCGUUGUCCGGAAUUAUUGGGCGUAAAGGGCUCGCAGGCGGUUUCUUAAGUCUGAUGUGAAAGCCCCCGGCUCAACCGGGGAGGGUCAUUGGAAACUGGGGAACUUGAGUGCAGAAGAGGAGAGUGGAAUUCCACGUGUAGCGGUGAAAUGCGUAGAGAUGUGGAGGAACACCAGUGGCGAAGGCGACUCUCUGGUCUGUAACUGACGCUGAGGAGCGAAAGCGUGGGGAGCGAACAGGAUUAGAUACCCUGGUAGUCCACGCCGUAAACGAUGAGUGCUAAGUGUUAGGGGGUUUCCGCCCCUUAGUGCUGCAGCUAACGCAU
RNAcentral lists this ribosomal RNA (801 nucleotides) under Pseudomonas putida. Its description in RNAcentral is "bacterial SSU rRNA". It matches the Rfam family "Bacterial small subunit ribosomal RNA", at positions 76 to 860 of the family's 1533-position model. The record is from RNAcentral. Lineage: Bacteria; Pseudomonadati; Pseudomonadota; Gammaproteobacteria; Pseudomonadales; Pseudomonadaceae.